AAGGAUAUAUUCGGAACAUCUUCUACGAAGAUGAAAGGAAUAACGUGACAUAUUGUAUUCAGUUUUGAAUGUUUAUUAACAUUCAAACAAAAUUAUUUAAAGAAUUGACUAAAUAAUUCAUAUUGUACAUUGAAAACUAGAUAAGUAAGUAAAUUAGAUUUUACCAAGCAAAACCGAGUGAAUAGAGUUUUAAAUAAGCUUGAAUUCAUAAAAUAAUCGCUAGUGUUCGAAAGAACACUCACAGAUUAAUAACAUAUCUUAAA
Molecule: unclassified non-coding RNA, 263 nt
Filed under: Staphylococcus caprae
Lineage: Bacteria; Bacillati; Bacillota; Bacilli; Caryophanales; Staphylococcaceae
Description: 16S-23S ribosomal RNA intergenic spacer
Source: RNAcentral